GUCGAGGGGCAGCGGGGGUAGCAAUACCUGCCGGCGACCGGCAAACGGGUGCGGAACACGUACACAACCUUCCUUUUAGUGGGGGAUAGCCCAGAGAAAUUUGGAUUAAUACCCCGUAAGAUUAUAGAGUGGCAUCACUUAGUAAUUAAAGCUCCGGCGCUAGAAGAUGGGUGUGCGUCUGAUUAGGUAGUUGGUUGGGGUAACGGCCCACCAAGCCUACGAUCAGUAACUGGUGUGAGAGCACGACCAGUCACACGGGCACUGAGACACGGGCCCGACUCCUACGGGAGGCAGCAGUAAGGAAUAUUGGUCAAUGGACGCAAGUCUGAGCCAGCCAUGCCGCGUGGAGGAUGAAGGUCCUCUGGAUUGUAAACUUCUUUUAUCUGGGAAGAAAUGCAUUUUUUCUAAAGUGUUUGACGGUACCAGAUGAAUAAGCACCGGCUAACUCCGUGCCAGCAGCCGCG
RNAcentral lists this ribosomal RNA (464 nucleotides) under uncultured soil bacterium. Its description in RNAcentral is "bacterial SSU rRNA". It matches the Rfam family "Bacterial small subunit ribosomal RNA", at positions 61 to 519 of the family's 1533-position model. The record is from RNAcentral.